UACAUUGUAGUGUAAAGGCACGUAAAUUUUUGGAUUUUAAAGUAAAGGUUCUAUACCUUUUUUUGUAA
This 68-nucleotide transfer RNA is filed under the name Histioteuthis reversa. RNAcentral's name for it is "tRNA-Gln". It matches the Rfam family "tRNA". From Rfam's summary of the family: Transfer RNA (tRNA) molecules are approximately 80 nucleotides in length. Their secondary structure includes four short double-helical elements and three loops (D, anti-codon, and T loops). Further hydrogen bonds mediate the characteristic L-shaped molecular structure. tRNAs have two regions of fundamental functional importance: the anti-codon, which is responsible for specific mRNA codon recognition, and the 3' end, to which the tRNAs corresponding amino acid is attached (by aminoacyl-tRNA synthetases). tRNAs cope with the degeneracy of the genetic code in two manners: having more than one tRNA (with a specific anti-codon) for a particular amino acid; and 'wobble' base-pairing, i.e. permitting non-standard base-pairing at the 3rd anti-codon position. The record is from RNAcentral. Lineage: Eukaryota; Metazoa; Mollusca; Cephalopoda; Oegopsida; Histioteuthidae.